This 253-nucleotide ribosomal RNA is filed under the name uncultured bacterium. RNAcentral's name for it is "partial 16S ribosomal RNA". It matches the Rfam family "Bacterial small subunit ribosomal RNA", at positions 524 to 776 of the family's 1533-position model. The record is from RNAcentral.
UACGUAGGGUGCAAGCGUUGUUCGGAAUUACUGGGCGUAAAGCGCGCGCAGGCGGGCUUGUAAGUCGAUUGUGAAAUCCCCGGGCUUAACCUGGGAACUGCGCUUGUUACUGGCAGGCUUGAGUGUGGCAGAGGGGGGUGGAAUUCCACGUGUAGCAGUGAAAUGCGUAGAGAUGUGGAGGAACACCGAUGGCGAAGGCAGCCCCCUGGGCUAACACUGACGCUCAUGCACGCAAGCGUGGGGAGCAAACCGG